CCCUACCAUACAUUAUAGAUUCAUACCAUUUCCAUGAUUAUAACUGGUCACUGUGGAUUUCAUUUUUUUAUUAUUUUACUAUCAUUAUUAUCAUCAUCAUCAUCUUUAUUCAGGACAGGAGAAAGAAAGUAACAGGAAAGCAUUUACCCUACACAUAAGUAUGUAGAUCUGUAGCAUCAUUGCUGAAUUAUGCUAUAAUGAACAUUCAAGACUAAUAACAUUAUAUAAAGUGUUACAAUAUUAAACCAAGAUAGGAGACCAGGUAGGUAACAAGCCUAAAAUUGCUUCAAAGUGGGGGACUAAAUGCCAUAAUUAAAUUUAGUGGGUUUAACAGUCUUGAUAUAUAUAUAUAUAUAUAUUUUUUAAUAAUUUUCAUUCCCCAGGAUGUGGUUUUUAACACCAAUAAUGUAUGUGUCAUUUGUAUAGUAAAAUUGGAUUUUAAGAGACACAAUUUAAUAAAGAAUGUAUUUGUGAUGUUAUUGUGCAAAACACUUUCUGAUCAAUUGAAAUAAGGCAAUGCAUCUGGUAUAGUAUAAUAAUUAAUCUGAGCAGGUGCACAUAAAGUUACAACAUAACUUUUAGUUUUUAAAAUGAAUAAAAAGGGAACCAUUUUAACCAAAACAACCAGGGUAUUUACAAAUGAAAUGACACCCUAAGAAUGUUUUCAAACUGUUUCUUUUUGAUGUUGUUGCAUCAUUUUGGAAUACUUUUAGGAUUCCUUUUGCGUUCAUGAUGUAAAUAUUUAAGGAGACAAAUGAGCAUUACAACAUUGUAUAUAUGUUUAUGAUGUGAUGAUUUUCGAUUAUAUAUAAUUACCAUAAAACUGUGCUAUUUGACUUUAUAGUAACUUGUUAUAUGUAACUUGUUAACAGCAUAAAAUUAUUUACUUGAGAUAGCAAUAUAAAGAAGGCCAACUUAUUAUAUAAUUCAAUUCACUAGUGUCUUUAUAGCUGAUUAGUUAGAAUUGUAUUAAAUUGAAAACACAAUUUACACAUAAAGCAUGCUUUGACUAUAUCAGAGUUGAAGAUUUUUCUUUAAGGAGAUUUACAAUUUUGUUUUCAGUUCAGUGAAAAAAAAAAAAAACUUGAUCUUCAUAUAGAUAAAUUAGUAUCCAAACAUUUUUUUCAAUAGACUUUAUAGAAGAGAUUUAUCAAGGGGUUAUGAAAAAUGUCUUUUAUUUUUGCUUAACAUUUGCAGUUCAUGGUUUAGUGAAUCAUGUGUUAAAUGUCUACUUUUGAAAUGGUUUUCUAUACUGUUCAGUUUAUCUGGGAUAUUACUUAUGUUAUUUAUAAAAUAUUUUACCAUGAAGUAUACAUUGAGAUUUCUUUCGUUUUCAAGUAUGUCCUGGGUAUAUACUUGAAAUUAAAUAAGUCUCUGUCUAUUUCAUUUGGUAAGAAAAUAACUAGUGACAUUUGUUCUUAUGAUUUGUGUGUGAUAUUUGUUGAUCAUUUUCUUUUUUUUUUUUAUUGAACAAUAACAGUAUCUUUUUGACUAGUACUACAACAAAUAGGAUUAGAAGCCAAACUGCAUUGCCAGCUGAUAACAAAAAGUGAGAUACUAUCUCUAAAACACUGCAGAAAAUACUUAAAAUGACUGUCAUUUCAAAAAUGAUCUUAUUGAAUUCUCUCAGGCAAUCUG
Pelobates cultripes (western spadefoot toad) is the source of this 1638-nucleotide non-coding RNA. NCBI's taxonomy places the organism in Eukaryota, Metazoa, Chordata, Amphibia, Anura, Pelobatidae. The record is from the annotation of a GenBank genome assembly.